Long non-coding RNA from Hyla sarda, 1370 nucleotides. RefSeq lists it as uncharacterized. The transcript is spliced from 3 exons. The record is from RefSeq and is a predicted model, not a curated record. Lineage: Eukaryota; Metazoa; Chordata; Amphibia; Anura; Hylidae.
GUUUUGAUAAAUCUCCCUCAAAGUGUAUUUUGACGGAUUCAAGAAACCAUUUAAAGAAAUCUAGGAAAGAAAAAGCUACCCAUUAUGAAGUGGACCCAUCACUUUUUGCAACGGAGGAUGUGAUACAUUAUGUACAAGAAAGACCAUCCCUAUGGGAUAAAUCACACAAUAUCAUACACAAAAACAUAAAGAUUCUAACCUAUGGCUUCCUGUAGUUUUUCAUCAACAACUUUGAAUACUGGAGCUCCAACAACAUCUCCUCCACCUGAAGAAAUAGACCCAGAGGAGGAGCCACACACUGUUGAAGGAGGAACCACAACCAAGCAAUGAUAACAAGUGGUCUGCGCUCCAUCAUCAGCCAUCCACAUUCAUCCAAAAAAUCUAAUGUGUCACAAAUGUUUAAAUGUUUCCUAGAUGCAAUUGAAAAAUUAGAAGACAUGUGCACUACAACAUUUUUACAUAUGGAUGUGAGAGUAAUGCGAUUGUGGGUAUUGCAGAUGGCUCCAUAUUUAAAAUGAAAUUGUGAAGGACCACACACGCUUGAAAGACUCUGUCCACAGAUUCAGGCUUGACUUGUAUGCUGGUUGUUAGAACACACAAUUCGUUAGUUAGAAUACCAAAGGAACACUACACAUAUUGGCAUACACAGGUCAAGCGGUAAUUGAAGACGCUGUGGAUUCCGCCUUCUCCCCGAGUAUGGCUCAUCAGCCACAAUUAUAUGGGGCAGUGCAGGUCCAUCUGUACCAGGUAGUGGUUUUGUGUCAGGGAUCUGGAAGGUGCCAGCAUACAGAGCCUUACCAAAAUUAGAUUCCUUAAAAACUCGGGCAUCAUUAUUUUGACCAUAGGCCCCAAUUUCAACUGCCAGAAACUUGUAACUGGCAUCACAAAUUGCCAAGAGGAUUAUGGAAAAGUAUUUUUUAUAGUUGUAAAAUUGGGAUCCACUUCCUGAUGGCUUCCUGAUCCUCACGUUUGCCAUCAAGGGCCCCAAUACAAUUAGGGAAAUUUGCAUGCCUCCAAAAACCCUCGGCAGCAGAAUUCACAUAGCGGUGGUAGGUGGAGGAAGAUAAUGGGACUGAAGGUUCCUCCAUAAAGCCUCACAUGUUUCCGAAACCAACGUAGAUAUGGUGGAUUACACCAUUCGGAACUGGUAAUGGAGAGAUGGGAAUAUCUCUCCACUGGCCAGAAACCUAAGAGCAAAUAUAGAAAAAAAAAACACACACACACAAUUGAUAAAGGCAUAAUGAAAAUUAAAAAUGAAUAAAAUAAAAACAAAUCUAAAGAAUUAGCAAUCACUGCCACCCCAACAUGUUUGUACAACUGAUAGCUUCACUAUAUAUCAAUCUGAAAAGAUAGUUGUGUCUCUGGUUGGA